RNAcentral lists this ribosomal RNA (253 nucleotides) under uncultured bacterium. RNAcentral's name for it is "partial 16S ribosomal RNA". It matches the Rfam family "Bacterial small subunit ribosomal RNA", at positions 524 to 776 of the family's 1533-position model. The record is from RNAcentral.
CACGGGGGGAGCAAGCGUUGUUCGGAAUUACUGGGCGUAAAGGGCUCGUAGGCGGCCAACUAAGUCAGACGUGAAAUCCCUCGGCUUAACCGGGGAACUGCGUCUGAUACUGGAUGGCUUGAGUUUGGGAGAGGGAUGCGGAAUUCCAGGUGUAGCGGUGAAAUGCGUAGAUAUCUGGAGGAACACCGGUGGCGAAGGCGGCAUCCUGGACCAACACUGACGCUGAGGAGCGAAAGCCAGGGGAGCAAACGGG